Vicugna pacos (alpaca) is the source of this 961-nucleotide non-coding RNA. NCBI's taxonomy places the organism in Eukaryota, Metazoa, Chordata, Mammalia, Artiodactyla, Camelidae. The record is from RefSeq and is a predicted model, not a curated record.
UGCAGCAGUUGGUGAAGAGGAGGAGGAGGAGGAGGAGGAUUCCUCAGCCAUCUUCGCAUCAAACCCUACAAACUCCAGGGUGUCUUCAAAACGCAGCUUCUUCUGUAUCGCCUCUUUCUUCUCUGUAUUGGCUCAUUCUCUAAGACUGGUCCACAUGGUAGAGACACAGCUACCAACUACUCUGGGGUCACAUCUUUACAGUUCAAGAUCCAAAGAAAAGAGAAAGCUACCUCUCUGCCUCUGAUUGGGAAUAUUCCAAGGAAAGUAUUUUAUCUCUGGCCUGCGUCAUGUGCCUACCCCUUGGAGCUGCCACUGUGUCCAGCAGAUUUGAUAUUGUGAUUAGCCAUCCUGGGUUAGGUGCCCAGCUGUGUGUGUGGAGGGGGAAUGGGACAAGGUACUAUUGUUGCUGGUACCACCAGGACUAAAUUGAAAGGACAGUGAAGAAGGAGCAGAUCUCCAAAGGAAGAAGACUGCUAUUACCAGAAGCAGGGAAGAAGGAAUGCUGGGCAAACCAAAAUAGCAGAUGUCCAUUUCAUAGACUUCUUAUUUUUAAUCGUUUUUAAAUUGCAUUUCUUGGAUUCUCAAUGCAUAUAAUCUUAUCAUCUGCAAAUAAUUAUAAUUUUUCCUCUUUUUCCCAUUUUCUUUUUAGUUUUAUACAGUUUACAUCAUUUUUCUUGGUUUAUUACAUUUCAGAACCUUCAAAACACUGUACUGGACAUCCAUGCCUUAUUCCUGAAUAAGGAAUAAGGGAAAUGACUUAAGUAUGAUGUCUGCUCGUGGCUUUUUGAUACUUUUUACUAUGUUUAAAAAGUUCUCUUCUACUUCAUUGUACUUAGAGUUUUUAUAAGGAAUAGCUGCUGAUUUUUAUGCAGUGCCUUUCGGCCACCCAUUGACAGAUAAGAUGACAUAAAAAUUUAAAAUUUUAAGUAGCAGAGAGAGGUACAGAAAUCACCAAAAAAAA